CCUGGCUUAGGAUGAACGCUAGCGACAGGCCUAACACAUGCAAGUCAGGGGCAGCACAAGGAGCAAUCUGAGGUGGCGACCGGCGCACGGGUGAGUAACACGUAUGCAACCUGCCUGUAAGCGGGGAAUAACCCGUUGAAAGACGGACUAAUACCGCAUAAUACUAAAUUACUGCAUGGUAAUUUAUUUAAACAUUUAUGGCUUACAGAUGGGCAUGCGCAUGAUUAGCUAGUUGGAGAGGUAACGGCUCCCCAAGGCAACGAUCAUUAGGGGUUCUGAGAGGAAGGUCCCCCACACUGGUACUGAGACACGGACCAGACUCCCACGGGAGGCAGCAGUGAGGAAUAUUGGUCAAUGGACGAGAGUCUGAACCAGCCAAGUCGCGUGCAGGAAGAAUGUUCCCUAUGGAUUGUAAACUGCUUUUGCAGGGGAAUAAAGUGCAUCACGUGUGAUGUUUUGUAUGUACUCUGCGAAUAAGGAUCGGCUAACUCCGUGCCAGCCGCCGC
RNAcentral lists this ribosomal RNA (506 nucleotides) under uncultured bacterium. RNAcentral's name for it is "bacterial SSU rRNA". It matches the Rfam family "Bacterial small subunit ribosomal RNA", at positions 18 to 518 of the family's 1533-position model. The record is from RNAcentral.